RNAcentral lists this ribosomal RNA (253 nucleotides) under uncultured bacterium. RNAcentral describes it as "partial 16S ribosomal RNA". It matches the Rfam family "Bacterial small subunit ribosomal RNA", at positions 524 to 776 of the family's 1533-position model. The record is from RNAcentral.
UACAGAGGGCUCAAGCGUUGUUCGGAUUCAUUGGGCGUAAAGGGUGCGUAGGCGGGGCUGUAAGUCGGGUGUGAAAUCUCGGAGCUUAACUCCGAAACUGCAUUCGAUACUGCCGUGCUUGAGUACUGGAGAGGAGACUGGAAUUUACGGUGUAGCGGUGAAAUGCGUAGAUAUCGUAAGGAAGACCAGUGGCGAAGGCGGGUCUCUGGACAGUUCCUGACGCUGAGGCACGAAGGUCAGGGGAGCAAACGGG